CUAGCUAAGCAUCUCACUUACACCGAGAAGACAUCCAUGCAAAUUGGAUCACCCUGAGCCGAACAGCUAG
This 70-nucleotide transfer RNA is filed under the name Ladislavia taczanowskii (Tachanovsky's gudgeon). RNAcentral describes it as "tRNA-Val". The record is from RNAcentral. Lineage: Eukaryota; Metazoa; Chordata; Actinopteri; Cypriniformes; Gobionidae.